RNAcentral lists this ribosomal RNA (482 nucleotides) under uncultured bacterium. Its description in RNAcentral is "bacterial SSU rRNA". It matches the Rfam family "Bacterial small subunit ribosomal RNA", at positions 29 to 506 of the family's 1533-position model. The record is from RNAcentral.
ACGAACGCUGGCGGCGUGCCUAACACAUGCAAGUCGAACGUGAAAGUCCUUCGGGAUGAGUAAAGUGGCGCACGGGUGAGUAAUGGAUAGGAACGUACCGAGUAGUGGGGAAUAACAUCGGGAAACCGAGGCUAAUACCGCAUGAGAUCGAAAGAUGAAAGGGGGCCUCUGCUUGCAAGCUCUCGCUACUUGAGCGGCCUAUCUCCCAUUAGCUAGUUGGUAGGGUAAAGGCCUACCAAGGCGACGAUGGGUAGCUGGUCUUAGAGGACGAUCAGCCACACUGGAACUGAGACACGGUCCAGACUCCUACGGGAGGCAGCAGUGGGGAAUAUUGCACAAUGGGGGAAACCCUGAUGCAGCAACGCCGCGUGAGUGAAGAAGGCCCUUGGGUCGUAAAGCUCUUUCGGCUGGGAAGAAGGGUGUGGUGGCUAAUAUCCACGAGAUCUGACGGUACCAGAAGAAGAAGCACUGGCUAAUUCCGU